AGAUUGAACGCUAGCGGGAUGCUUUACACAUGCAAGUCGAACGGCAGCGCGGACUUCGGUCUGGCGGCGAGUGGCGAACGGGUGAGUAAUAUAUCGGAACGUGCCCAGUAGCGGGGGAUAACUACGCGAAAGCGUGGCUAAUACCGCAUACGCCCUACGGGGGAAAGGGGGGGAUUCUUCGGAACCUCUCACUAUUGGAGCGGCCGAUAUCAGAUUAGGUUGUUGGUGGGGUAAUGGCCCACCAAGGCUACGAUCAGUAGCUGGUCUGAGAGGAUGACCAGCCACAUUGGGACUGAGACACGGCCCAAACUCCUACGGGAGCAGCAGUGGGAAUCUUGCGCAAGUGGGACG
Molecule: ribosomal RNA, 351 nt
Filed under: uncultured soil bacterium
Lineage: Bacteria
Description: bacterial SSU rRNA
Rfam family: Bacterial small subunit ribosomal RNA
Source: RNAcentral